GGUACACAGCUUCUAACUACAGCCACUACGUUAUAGGUCCUGGCUGUGGACAGGCACAUACAGAAUAAAAAAAAAUGAUUGAAUUUAAUGUGACUGUUCUAGUUGAUUAUAGACAGUGUUUUGAGAAGCUGCAAUAUGAUAUUUAAUAUUGUUCUUUAUGUGUGUCUUAAUGCUGGUAAAUAAAACUUUUGAAAUUUUUAGAUCUGGAAAAGUGCAAUAGAUGUUCUGGUGUUCGAUGGAAAAAGUCACACCCUGCUUGUAGAAUACAUUUGUACCUCAUUUAGG
RNAcentral lists this long non-coding RNA (285 nucleotides) under Mytilus galloprovincialis (Mediterranean mussel). The record is from RNAcentral. Lineage: Eukaryota; Metazoa; Mollusca; Bivalvia; Mytilida; Mytilidae.